UUCAGGUCCUUCGUCUUCAAACGACUGAUCUCCGAAUAACUCUCCUGCAGCCCUGUUCCCCUGUCGCUCGUCGACGGUGGCGGCUGCAUAGAUCUGGUGCUUACCUGGUGGACGACGACUACUCCCUGGGCAGUUGCUCCCUGCCUCCUCCCCCUCCCACUCCGGCUUCCAGGUCUCUUGGCUCCAUCUACCGCGCAUCCCGACGACGCGCUGCACAUCCUCGUCAGGGACCGGCCGGGCUGCCGCCGCCGGUCUCCUCCACCCCGAUGACCACGGGCUCCCCACCCGCUCAGCUGCCCAUUUGUACCUUUCCGGAGCCAAGCUGGUAGUGGUCGAGUGGGCGGUGGUGCCUCCACGGUCGCCUCCUCCCCGCACUCCUAGAUCCAGCAGUAUCUCACCGUAGGCAACCUGGUGGUGCUCGAUCUGCUCGCCUUCUUCGCCUGGCAGGCUCAGCAUCAAGUACGAGCAGACGCGUCGCUGGAUGAAGCCAUGGGCAAUGGGACGAGGCAUCGGCGACACUGACUGCAGGAUUGACACCGUCUCUGCAGGUCCCUGAUGUGGGUGCACCGCAUUGCUUGGCGGUGCAUGGCUGGAGCUCCCGCCGACCAUCAGGUUGAGGUGGGGAGGAGCAGGUGGCAUGCAGACUGAAUCAGGCGGAGAGCGCGGGCACUCGAAGACGCGACUCCUGAAUGACGGCUUGACCACGGCGGUCGACAAUCUGAAAAUAUCACCGAACAUGAAGACUGAAGAGCAAGAAGCACUAUAACUGGAGGCAAAGGGAUUUUUUUUUUCUUUCAUGUGCUAUCAAGAUAACAAACCCGAUGCAAGUUUUGGUAGCAAUGUUUAUUCAGCGGGCAUCAUUUCAGUUCUUCAUUCUCGGGCUCGCUGUUCAUGUACUACAAAAUAUCUCUUGUGUACCCGAAUUAAGAUAGAUGACAUACACUCAAAUAUUUCUUCCCAGGAUGAUCCACUUAGACAUGUGUUCAGAAAUUUGUGCUUGACAUGUACUCUCAUAUUUGUGUUUGGGGUGGUCCAGCAUGGGAUGAACUAGGAACAGAUUGGCUUAACCAUAUUAAGUUUUCUUGCAUAAUCGGUGAUCUAGUACAAGCGACUACUGUACAAUUUGGGCAUCGACGAUGUGAGGAUUUGAAAUUGGGAUAAAAUG
Molecule: long non-coding RNA, 1165 nt
Organism: Triticum dicoccoides
Lineage: Eukaryota; Viridiplantae; Streptophyta; Magnoliopsida; Poales; Poaceae
Exons: 3
Source: RefSeq, a predicted model, not a curated record